Molecule: ribosomal RNA, 329 nt
Filed under: uncultured eukaryote
Lineage: Eukaryota
Description: bacterial SSU rRNA
Rfam family: Eukaryotic small subunit ribosomal RNA
Source: RNAcentral
UAGUUGGAUAUCUGCUAAGGGGUUCCGGUCCUUCCCAGUGAAGAAUACGACGGAACUCUUCUUGGCAUUUAUUCAGGGAAGGUGUUUGCACUUUGUUGUGUGUCACGUGAUCUGAAUUUUUACUUUGAGGAAAUGAGAGUGUUUCAAGCAGGCUUUCGCCGUGAAUAUGAUAGCAUGGAAUAAUAGCACAGGACCCCUUUCCAAAGCUGUUGGUUUUUGGAACGAGGUAAUCAGAAUAAGGAUAGUUGGGGGUAUUCGUAUUUAACUGUCAGAGGUGAAAUCUUGGAUUUUUUAAAGACGAACUAUUGCGAAGGCAUCUGCCCAGGAUG